UACGAAGGGGGCGAGCGUUGUUCGGAUUUACUGGGCGUAAAGGGCGCGUAGGCGGCCAUUCAAGUCAGGCGUGAAAGCCCCGGGCUCAACCUGGGAGGUGCGCUUGGGACUGGGUGGCUGGAGUUCGGGAGAGGAGAGUGGAAUUCCCAGUGUAGAGGUGAAAUUCGUAGAUAUCGAGAGGAACACCUGCGGCGAAGGCGGGUUGCUGGGCUGAUACUGACGCUGAGGCGCGAAAGCCAGGGGAGCGAACGGG
This 253-nucleotide ribosomal RNA is filed under the name uncultured bacterium. RNAcentral describes it as "partial 16S ribosomal RNA". It matches the Rfam family "Bacterial small subunit ribosomal RNA", at positions 524 to 776 of the family's 1533-position model. The record is from RNAcentral.